Molecule: RNA transcript, 2586 nt
Organism: Eptesicus fuscus (big brown bat)
Lineage: Eukaryota; Metazoa; Chordata; Mammalia; Chiroptera; Vespertilionidae
Gene: POU2F3
Gene name: POU class 2 homeobox 3
Exons: 15
Source: RefSeq, a predicted model, not a curated record
GCCCGCGCGGGAGAAAGUGCGCGACGGCAGCGGCCGGUCCGGAGGCGCCCGGGCAGCAGCGGUAGGCGGGAGGAGGGGACCCUGGCUUCGCAGGGGGCCCGGCUGGGGCCCACGCAAGGAGCCUGGGGGGGCGCUGGUCUCGGCCCCGCCUGGGGCAGGAUGGUGAACCUGGAGCUCAUGCACUCAGAUACCAAGAUGAGUGGGGACGGAGCCCAUCCCACCGACGGUCCCGGCGCCCUCGGCCAGGUGGACACCGGAAAUGACCGAAACAGCCUGGAUUUCAACAGGCAGAUCAAAACCGAGGACCUCGGCGACUCCCUGCAGCAGACGCUCUCACACCGGCCAUGCCCCCUGAGCCAGGGACCGGCCAUGAUGCCUGGGAGCCAAGUGUCUGGGGAUCUGACGGCCCUCCAUCCCCUCCAGCAGCUCGUGCUGGUUCCCGGCCACUUGCAGUCCGUGUCGCAGUUCCUGCUCUCUCAGACGCAGCCGGGGCAGCAAGGUCUGCAGCCCAAUCUCCUCCCCUUUCCACAGCAGCAAAGCUCCUUGCUCCUCCCACAGCCUGGACCCGGCCUGGCGUCCCAGGCAGUCGGGCGCCCGGGGCUGCCGGGACCCUCCCUAGACCCCCACCUGGAGGCGCCCCAGCAUCUCCCGGUGCCCAAGCACCUGCCUGGCGCUGGGGGCGCCGACGAGCCCGGCGACCUGGAGGAGCUGGAGAAGUUCGCCAAGACCUUCAAGCAGAGGCGCAUCAAGCUGGGCUUCACACAGGGGGACGUGGGGCUGGCGAUGGGGAAGCUGUACGGCAACGACUUCAGCCAGACCACCAUCUCGCGGUUCGAGGCCCUCAAUCUGAGCUUCAAGAACAUGUGCAAGCUCAAGCCGCUGCUGGAGAAGUGGCUGAGCGACGCCGAGUCCUCCCCGGCAGACCCCUCGGUGAGCACCCCCAGCGCGUACCCCGCCCUCACCGAGGUGUUCGGGAGGAAGAGGAAGAAACGCACCAGCAUUGAGACCAACAUCCGCCUGACCCUGGAGAAGAGGUUUCAGGAUAACCCCAAACCGAGCUCCGAGGAGAUCUCCAUGAUUGCAGAACAGUUGUCCAUGGAGAAGGAGGUGGUGAGGGUCUGGUUCUGCAACCGACGUCAAAAGGAGAAGAGGAUCAGCUGUCCCGUGGCCACACCCAUCAAAUCGCCCAUCUACACGUCCCGUCUGGUCUCCCCGUCCGGGCCUCUGGGCCCCCUCUCCGUCCCGCCCGUCCACAGCGCCGUGCCGGGAGCAGUGACCUCGUCCUGUUCCCCUGGCAGCAGCAGCCCCUCCUCGCCCAGCGCAGGCCUCCCCUCCGCGCAGCCCAGCGCCAAGGCGGCAGCCGGCGCCUCCUCUGGACUGGGCGCCUCAGGACCCUGGUACCGAUGGAGUCAUCCCACCUACCUCCACUGAGCCCGCGGGUGCUCCCCGAGCGAGCGGAAGGGCGCCCACCACCGGGAGCCGAGCUCGCCUUCCUCAGACCCGCCGGAGGCUCACCCUCGGGGACCACGCGGCCCUGUGUCCCGGAGCCGCCCAGGCCUUUCCGAGAAAGGACGUCUCGCCGUUGCUCCCGCCUCCUCCUGGGGACAGCCACGCUGGGUGCCCGCCAGCAGGGUCCCAGCUCCGAGUUCCCUCUGACACCCGGGAAGAGCUGUGAAUCCCCGCCUCCGGCAAAGCCUCGCUGUUUGCUCUGCUCAGCAAGCUUUUCUCACCGAAUCUUCUCUCACCCAGUGCUCUCCGGGCCCUGCCCCCUUCACAGAACCAAACCCACUCGUGCUUUUGUUCUGAAGUUCCCUCCUCUUUGGAGAAGGCCAAGUCCCUCCGCCCAGGCAUUUCCCUGCCCGUGAGGCUCCCUGCACCUGUCACCGAGCCAGGAGCUUGCCGCCCUCCGCCCUCCGCUCAGCCCCUGUCCCCGCUGCAGCAGGAGGAACAGGCAUCUGUUGUUCUGAUGCUGUCAGGUGCCUGCCGAGGGCCCUUUCCUGCUGUUUUCAUUAUGUUCUCUCCUUACUGUGGAAUUCUCCAGCAAAAUGUUUAACUCAGGUGGAUGUCCAGUUGUUCCAGCACCAUUUGUGAACACUGUCAUUUCUCCAUUAUAUUGCCCUAGCUCAGUGGUCGGCAAACUCAUUAGCCAACAGAGCCAAAUAUCAACAGUACAACGACUGAAAUUUCUUUUGAGAGCGGAAAACCGACUUCUGCGCAUGGGCCACGAAGUUUCAAUCGCACUGUACGUGCGCACCCACACGUGAUAUUUUGUGGAAGAGCCACACUGAAGGGACCAAAGAGCCGCAUGUGGCUCCGUGAGCCGCAGUUUGCCAACCACUGCCCUAGCUCCUUGGCCAAAGAUUAGCUUCUAAUGCCCUUCACCAAGGAAAGGCGCUGCGGAUGCAGGAAAGCACAGGGCACCCGAGCAGGUCCCGGUGCUGCAGGGGCCGGACGCCUUGAUGGUGGAAAACACGGCUCCAGAGCACAUCGCCCAGGCUCCUUCUGCCUGACUCACCACAGCAGCCAGCCAGCUCUGCCGGUUCGCGUUGUAAAAUGGGACUGACAAUAGAGUAGCUCAGAGUUGUG